This 287-nucleotide long non-coding RNA is filed under the name Lathyrus oleraceus (garden pea). RNAcentral's name for it is "Pisum sativum (pea) long non-coding RNA (PSAT_LNC032292)". The record is from RNAcentral. Lineage: Eukaryota; Viridiplantae; Streptophyta; Magnoliopsida; Fabales; Fabaceae.
UUCUUCCUCUUAUUCUUCUAUUUUUUCUUCCUCUUAUCCUUCUAUUUUUUCAUUCUUUUUUUUUUCUUUUCUAUUUUUUUUCUUUUUCUGCCAACUUCUGAAAUAUUACAAACAUAAUUAUUCAACCCCACACAACUCCAAACAAGACUCUUUCAACCCUUUGAAUAGGGUGAUAACAUUGUUUACCAACUUCUGAAAUAUUACAAACAUAAUUAUUCAACCCCACACAACUCCAAACAAGACUCUUUCAACCCUUUGAAUAGGGUGAUAACAUUGUUUUUCACUUC